AACUUUCAACAACGGAUCUCUUGGCUCUGGCAUCGAUGAAGAACGCAGCGAAAUGCGAUAAGUAAUGUGAAUUGCAGAAUUUAGUGAAUCAUCGAAUC
Molecule: ribosomal RNA, 98 nt
Filed under: Blumeria hordei DH14
Lineage: Eukaryota; Fungi; Ascomycota; Leotiomycetes; Helotiales; Erysiphaceae
Description: Blumeria graminis f. sp. hordei DH14 5.8S ribosomal RNA
Rfam family: 5.8S ribosomal RNA
About the family: 5.8S ribosomal RNA (5.8S rRNA) is a component of the large subunit of the eukaryotic ribosome. It is transcribed by RNA polymerase I as part of the 45S precursor that also contains 18S and 28S rRNA.
Source: Rfam by way of RNAcentral